Molecule: small RNA, 561 nt
Filed under: Pongo abelii (Sumatran orangutan)
Lineage: Eukaryota; Metazoa; Chordata; Mammalia; Primates; Hominidae
Description: retained intron
Source: RNAcentral
ACCGCCCAGCCGCUCGCAGGCGCCGCACGGAGCUGCGUCCCGGGGACUUGGGGCCGCAGGGAGCUGUGAGUACUCAGGAAGCUGCACUGUGUGGCCUGGAGCCGUCUAUCUGUCCUUCCAGCCACCUCUCUGUCCAACCACCCUUCCACAGACUGAGGCUUGACGCCGGAGCAUCUGUACAGAACAAGGAGAAUACAAGAACAUGCUCUAAAGCCCUUCACAGCAAGACCCAGGAAGCUGCGGGCAAACUCAGACUCGAAGGUAGGAAGCUGGGCGGCCGGGUGGCUGGACCCAGGGCACUGGCUGCUGUGCCCAUGUCCAGAUACCUCCUGCGGGGCCUGCGCUCUCUGUCUGAACACGGUGGACAGUGAAUGAAGAAAGUCAAUUCAGGGAUCGAGAGGGAGGAAUAAGGGCAGGGAAGGGAUGGGCGCGGUGGCUCACGCCUGUAAUCCCAGCAUUUUGGGAGGCCGAGGUGAGUGGAUCACCUGAGGUCAGGAGUUCGAGACUGGCCUGGCCAACAUGGCAAACCCCCAUCUCUACUAAAAAUACAAAAAAAUUAGC